GACGAACGCUGGCGGCGUGCUUAACACAUGCAAGUCGAACGGAAGGGCGCUGCUUUUGUGGGGUGCUCGUGAGGGGCACGGGGGGGAAUAACUCGUGAAUCACCCACUUAUAGUCGGGGAAAAUUGCGGAAACCGGGAUCAAAUCCGGGAAUAUAUUGUGAACCGCGGGUUUCAAAUGUAAAAGGGGGUCGUUCUGACAUUUAUAUGUGGAUCCGCGCUGCAUUAGCUAGUUGGUAAGGUAACGGCUUACCAAGGCAACGAUGCAUAGCCGACCUGAGAGGGUGAUCGGCCACACUGGAACUGAGACACGGUCCAGACUCCUACGGGAGGCAGCAGUAGGGAAUCUUCCGCAAUGGGCGAAAGCCUGACGGAGCAACGCCGCGUGAGUGAUGAAGGUCUUCGGAUCGUAAAACUCUGUUAUUAGGGAAGAACAUAUGUGUAAGUAACUGUGCACAUCUUGACGGUACCUAAUCAGAAAGCCACGGCUAACUACGUG
Molecule: ribosomal RNA, 496 nt
Filed under: uncultured bacterium
Lineage: Bacteria
Description: partial 16S ribosomal RNA
Rfam family: Bacterial small subunit ribosomal RNA
Source: RNAcentral